This is an RNA transcript of Sinocyclocheilus anshuiensis, 2309 nucleotides long. It is a transcript of the gene named synaptotagmin binding, cytoplasmic RNA interacting protein, like, with no coding region annotated. The record is from RefSeq and is a predicted model, not a curated record. Lineage: Eukaryota; Metazoa; Chordata; Actinopteri; Cypriniformes; Cyprinidae. The transcript is spliced from 12 exons.
AAAACUCCCGCGGCAUGAGUUUCGCCGCCAUUUUGCAUCAGACCUAUUGAAAAGAGUGAGAUAGCAGACACACGGCGGGGUUUGGCCACUUUAUCCUCUUUCAGUACAUUUCCCUCUGGAUUUAUCCCAACAUAAUCCAAGAUAUUAACUGACAGGUCCCGGAGACAUGGCCACGGAGCAUAUAAAUGGAAAUGGUUCGGAUGAACCAGUGGAGUCUUCAGCGGCAGUUACCCAUUCAGAGCACUUCCAGACGCUACUAGACGCCGGCUUACCUAGAAAAGUUGCAGUCAAACUAGAUGAGAUUUACAUAGCAGGACUCGUGUCUCACAGCGAUCUCGAUGAUCGAGCGAUUGAAGCUCUGAAAGAGUUCAAUGAAGAGGGCGCGCUGCAAGUUCUCCUGCAGUUCAAAGACAGCGACCUGUCGCAUGUUCAGAAUAAAAGUGCCUUCCUCUGUGGAGUGAUGAAGACGUACAGGCAGAGGGAGAAACAGGGGACCAAAGUGUCAGACUCCACUAAAGGACCAGAUGAGGCCAAAAUCAAAGCUUUGCUCGAGAGAACUGGCUAUACACUUGAUGUGACGACAGGCCAGCGCAAGUAUGGCGGUCCUCCUCCAGGGUCGACCCAUGCUGGAGUUCAGCCCACCGUCGGCACAGAGAUUUUUGUGGGAAAGAUCCCGAGAGAUCUCUUUGAAGAUGAGCUCGUCCCUCUGUUCGAGAAAGCCGGCCCUAUAUGGGAUCUGCGUCUGAUGAUGGAUCCGCUCAGCGGGCUGAACCGAGGAUACGCCUUCAUCACCUUCUGCACUAAAGAGGCUGCUCUGCAAGCCGUCAAGCUCUGUAACAACAAUGAAAUUCGGCCCGGGAAACACCUCGGUGUGUGCAUCUCUGUUGCCAACAAUCGUCUGUUUGUGGGCUCCAUCCCCAAGAGCAAAACUAAGGAGCAGAUCGUGGAGGAGUUCGCCAAAGUUACGGAGGGCUUGAAUGACGUCAUCUUAUACCAUCAGCCUGACGACAAGAAGAAGAAUCGCGGCUUCUGCUUCCUAGAGUACGAGGAUCAUAAAACAGCAGCCCAGGCGCGGCGUAGAUUAAUGAGCGGCAAAGUGAAGGUGUGGGGGAAUGUGGUGACGGUAGAAUGGGCUGAUCCCAUUGAAGACCCCGACCCUGAAGUCAUGGCAAAGGUCAAAGUCCUCUUUGUAAGAAACCUGGCGAGCACAGUAACGGAAGAGCUUCUCGAGAAGACGUUCUGUCAGUUUGGCAAGCUGGAAAGAGUUAAAAAGCUUAAAGACUACGCCUUCAUCCACUUCGAAGAGAGAGAUAGCGCCGUUAAGGCUCUAGCUGAAAUGCAUGGAAAGGAUUUGGAAGGAGAACAAAUUGAAAUCGUCUUUGCAAAGCCGCCUGACCAGAAGAGGAAAGAGCGAAAGGCCCAGAGACAAGCUGCUAAAACUCAAAUGUAUGAUGAGUAUUAUUACUACGGGCCGCCGCAUAUGCAUCCCCCGACGAGAGCAAGAGGACGAGGCGCUAGAGGUUAUUCGUAUCCCCACGACUAUUACAGCUAUGAAGAUUAUUACGAUUACUACGGCUAUGACUAUCACAACUACAGAGGCGGUUACGACGACCCCUACUACGGCUACGAUGACUUUCAAGCUCACGUCAGAGGAAGAGGCAACAGAGGAGUCCGGGGCCCCACGCUGUCCAGGGGCCGCGGCUCCACCGCUCCCAGAGGACGGGCCGGUUUCUCUCAGCGCGGGGGUCCGGGGCCCAGCCGAGGUGGCCGAGGGUCCAGAGCAGGCCUCCAGCAGAGAUGUCGAGUGGUACGUGAUGUGUGGGUGGAGCAAUCCUGGAGUGUUGGCAGGAGGUUUUGAAGCACUCUAGGCUAGAUGUGCACUCAUUUUAUUAAGUCAAAUUCGACAAAGGACAUGGUGAUCAAAAUACAUGUUUUGGCGUUUGUUUUUUCCUUCCCCUCCUUUUCAUAUUGCUUACAUUUGCAAGGCACCUUGUGGACGAAACGGACCAAAGGGAAAGGGGGUCGAGGCUGGUCCUGACCAGGUAGUAUGAAGACUGACUUGUUGUAUGGGGUUACACCGGAUGCUACCAGUGUCCAUAAGGUUAAAGCAAGCUCCAAUGUCCAAUGGUAUUCCAGCCUGUAUUGAAGCAAAUCUCCUACACUGCCAUCCCCGACAAACCAUAAGAUUUCUCAAGUCGAAACCCCGGACACAGUUUUUCCCCAUUCGGAGCCCGUCUAAAUAAACCCCCAGUUAUAUAGUCCACGUCUAAACGCGCCACAUUAUGGAACUGAAGUUCAGACUCUCAAGG